RNAcentral lists this long non-coding RNA (1104 nucleotides) under Rattus norvegicus (Norway rat). RNAcentral's name for it is "long non-coding RNA NONRATT028342". Lineage: Eukaryota; Metazoa; Chordata; Mammalia; Rodentia; Muridae. The record is from RNAcentral.
UCCAGCUUACUUGUCAGGAUAAAGCCCCCAGCGUGGUGCAAAGAGCCCUGGAGAAGCACAAUGUGCCCCAGCCCUGGGCCCGGGACUACCAGCUCCUCCAGGUCUUGCCUGGGGACAGAGAGCUCCUGAUUCCUGACAGUGCCAAUGUCUUCUAUGCUAUGAACCCAGCUGCCCCUGGUGACUUCUUACUUCGUCGGAAGGAGGGGACAGGACAUACACCCUCUGCCUCCCCAAGCUGAGGCGGUGCUCUCCCUGUCCUGAGCCAGAGGCACAGCUGACAGCUUGGAACCUGGAUUUUACUACCAUCAAAGUAGGGGCCCUGGAGAGCCUCUGUCCCCAGUGGAAACCAUUUUGCUCUGUACCCUGGGGUCCCCCAACUUUGGGCCAUUGGAGCCCCAUCUCUUUGACUCCCUUGGCCCUUGACCAUUAUUCUAAAAGCAUGGAUGUGUGGGAAGAGUGUAAAACUAGGAAGAAUCAAGGGCGCUCAGCUUAGGUGGGAGAGCCUUUGCCCAGCAGCCCCAGACCCUGGAUGGUUUCCCAGCACUUCCAAAAUAAAAGUCCUAAGGGACUUGGACUAUGAGAUGCAGUUCAGUCACAUUCUAACAUUCAGGACUCUGAGACCCAGGACAGAGCAUAGACAAUGUGGUGACACACAUCCGUAAUCCCAGUGCUUGGGACGGGGGAUCAGGAGAAUCAUCCUUGGCUACAUAGUGAGUGCAGGACAAACCUGGGCUACAUCAUGAAACCCCACUCAAAAAAAAAAAAAUCCUAAGGAGAGGUAGGGAAAUCUUAAGGGAAGUUCAGGGUUUCCUCCCCCGCAGUUUCAGGAGGGGCUGUCCUGCUUUUCUGUCACCUGGUGGAUAAAUGGGAAGAGGGAAGAGGUUACCCAUCCCUUGCAAAUACAGACAGUGAGAAACUGGGCAUGGCGGUGCCUGUCACUGGGGGAGGCGGGAGGAUUUUGAGCUCAAGACCAUUUUCAGCUGUAGUGUGACUUCCAGACCAGCGAAAGAAAGAAAAAAAGAAAGAAGGAAGGAAAGAAAGAAAGAAGGAAAGAAAGAAAGAAAGAAAGAAAGAAAGAAAGAGAAAAGAAGGAAGGAAGGAAAG